This 465-nucleotide ribosomal RNA is filed under the name Vreelandella stevensii. RNAcentral's name for it is "partial 16S ribosomal RNA". It matches the Rfam family "Bacterial small subunit ribosomal RNA", at positions 338 to 795 of the family's 1533-position model. Lineage: Bacteria; Pseudomonadati; Pseudomonadota; Gammaproteobacteria; Oceanospirillales; Halomonadaceae. The record is from RNAcentral.
CCUACGGGGCGCUGCAGUGGGGAAUAUUGGACAAUGGGCGAAAGCCUGAUCCAGCCAUGCCGCGUGUGUGAAGAAGGCCUUCGGGUUGUAAAGCACUUUCAGUGGGGAAGAAAGCCUUGGGGCUAAUACCCUCGAGGAAGGACAUCACCCACAGAAGAAGCACCGGCUAACUCCGUGCCAGCAGCCGCGGUAAUACGGAGGGUGCGAGCGUUAAUCGGAAUUACUGGGCGUAAAGCGCGCGUAGGCGGUCUGAUAAGCCGGUUGUGAAAGCCCCGGGCUCAACCUGGGAACGGCAUCCGGAACUGUCAGGCUAGAGUGCAGGAGAGGAAGGUAGAAUUCCCGGUGUAGCGGUGAAAUGCGUAGAGAUCGGGAGGAAUACCAGUGGCCAAGGCGGCCUUCUGGACUGACACUGACGCUGAGGUGCGAAAGCGUGGGUAGCAAACAGGAUUAGAUACCCUAGUAGUC